Molecule: ribosomal RNA, 660 nt
Filed under: uncultured bacterium
Lineage: Bacteria
Description: bacterial SSU rRNA
Rfam family: Bacterial small subunit ribosomal RNA
Source: RNAcentral
CGCGGCCUAUCAGCUUGUUGGUGGGGUAACGGCCUACCAAGGCAAUGACGGGUAGCAGGCCUGAGAGGGUGGUCUGUCACACUGGGACUGAGACACUGCCCAGACUCCUACGGGAGGCUGCAGUCGAGAAUCUUCCGCAAUGGGCGAAAGCCUGACGGAGCGACGCCGCGUGGAGGACGAAGGCCUUCGGGUUGUAAACUCCUGUCACGGGUUAUGAAUGUGCGUAGGUUAAUAGUCUGCGUAUUGACGUAUGCCCGAGAGGAAGCACCGGCUAACUCCGUGCCAGCAGCCGCGGUAAUACGGAGGGUGCGAACGUUGUUCGGAAUCACUGGGCAUAAAGAGCUCGUAGGCGGCUGGGCAAGUGUGAAGUGAAAGCCCACGGCUCACCCGUGGAACUGCUUUGCAGACUGCCUGGCUAGAGGAUGGUAAGGGAGAGCGGAACUCCUGUUGGAGCGGUGAAAUGCGUAGAUAUCAGGAGGAACACCGGUGGCGAAGGCGGCUCUCUGGUCCAUUUCUGACGCUGAGGAGCGAAAGCUAGGGUAGCGAACGGGAUUAGAUACCCCGGUAGUCCUAGCCGUAAACGAUGGGCACUAGCUAGGGGCCCUCCUGUGGGGUCCCUGGUGAAGCAAAUGUGAUAAGUGCCCCGCCUGGGGAGUACGG